This 21-nucleotide non-coding RNA is filed under the name Caenorhabditis elegans. Lineage: Eukaryota; Metazoa; Nematoda; Chromadorea; Rhabditida; Rhabditidae. The record is from RNAcentral.
UUCAAAAUCUUUGUUCUUCAA